AGAGUUUGAUCAUGGCUCAGAUUGAACGCUGGCGGCAGGCCUAACACAUGCAAGUCGAGCGGAAACGAGUUAUCUGAACCUUCGGGGAACGAUAACGGCGUCGAGCGGCGGACGGGUGAGUAAUGCCUAGGAAAUUGCCCUGAUGUGGGGGAUAACCAUUGGAAACGAUGGCUAAUACCGCAUGAUGCCUACGGGCCAAAGAGGGGGACCUUCGGGCCUCUCGCGUCAGGAUAUGCCUAGGUGGGAUUAGCUAGUUGGUGAGGUAAGGGCUCACCAAGGCGACGAUCCCUAGCUGGUCUGAGAGGAUGAUCAGCCACACUGGAACUGAGACACGGUCCAGACUCCUACGGGAGGCAGCAGUGGGGAAUAUUGCACAAUGGGCGCAAGCCUGAUGCAGCCAUGCCGCGUGUGUGAAGAAGGCCUUCGGGUUGUAAAGCACUUUCAGUCGUGAGGAAGGUGGUGUAGUUAAUAGCUGCAUUAUUUGACGUUAGCGACAGAAGAAGCACCGGCUAACUCCGUGCCAGCAGCCGCGGUAAUACGGAGGGUGCGAGCGUUAAUCGGAAUUACUGGGCGUAAAGCGCAUGCAGGUGGUUUGUUAAGUCAGAUGUGAAAGCCCGGGGCUCAACCUCGGAAUAGCAUUUGAAACUGGCAGACUAGAGUACUGUAGAGGGGGGUAGAAUUUCAGGUGUAGCGGUGAAAUGCGUAGAGAUCUGAAGGAAUACCGGUGGCGAAGGCGGCCCCCUGGACAGAUACUGACACUCAGAUGCGAAAGCGUGGGGAGCAAACAGGAUUAGAUACCCUGGUAGUCCACGCCGUAAACGAUGUCUACUUGGAGGUUGUGGCCUUGAGCCGUGGCUUUCGGAGCUAACGCGUUAAGUAGACCGCCUGGGGAGUACGGUCGCAAGAUUAAAACUCAAAUGAAUUGACGGGGGCCCGCACAAGCGGUGGAGCAUGUGGUUUAAUUCGAUGCAACGCGAAGAACCUUACCUACUCUUGACAUCCAGAGAACUUUCCAGAGAUGGAUUGGUGCCUUCGGGAACUCUGAGACAGGUGCUGCAUGGCUGUCGUCAGCUCGUGUUGUGAAAUGUUGGGUUAAGUCCCGCAACGAGCGCAACCCUUAUCCUUGUUUGCCAGCGAGUAAUGUCGGGAACUCCAGGGAGACUGCCGGUGAUAAACCGGAGGAAGGUGGGGACGACGUCAAGUCAUCAUGGCCCUUACGAGUAGGGCUACACACGUGCUACAAUGGCGCAUACAGAGGGCGGCCAACUUGCGAAAGUGAGCGAAUCCCAAAAAGUGCGUCGUAGUCCGGAUUGGAGUCUGCAACUCGACUCCAUGAAGUCGGAAUCGCUAGUAAUCGUGGAUCAGAAUGCCACGGUGAAUACGUUCCCGGGCCUUGUACACACCGCCCGUCACACCAUGGGAGUGGGCUGCAAAAGAAGUAGGUAGUUUAACCUUCGGGGGGACGCUUACCACUUUGUGGUUCAUGACUGGGGUGAAGUCGUAACAAGGUAGCGCUAGGGGAACCUGGCGCUG
This 1533-nucleotide ribosomal RNA is filed under the name Vibrio alginolyticus. Its description in RNAcentral is "bacterial SSU rRNA". It matches the Rfam family "Bacterial small subunit ribosomal RNA". Lineage: Bacteria; Pseudomonadati; Pseudomonadota; Gammaproteobacteria; Vibrionales; Vibrionaceae. RNAcentral also lists the same sequence under 1 other name. The record is from RNAcentral.